AAAAGGAAAAAAUAAAACCUUAAAGAAAAAGAAGAUCCUAAAUUCGACCCAAACCUGGGGCUGAUUAAGAAUGGGGCCCUGGGAGCCCUUGCUUGUUAAUAAACAGCACAUGACAUUGACCAUGAUACCUGACCAUGCAGCCAGUCAGGAGAGAGUCGCCCCACCCUAGCGUCAGGAAUGGUGGAAAGACUGUCCCUCGUGUCCUCACCUUCGAUUGGGAUCCCCCCAAAAAGCAAAGUGUUCAGUUGUCCCAUGCCUGCCGACGGUGUCCUCCCCCCUUAUGCAUCUCGCUGCACCCGGGCCCCGGAGGCCUGCUGUUGCUAAGGCAGGGCGGACUGGCUUUGAGUCACUCAGCAGAGGUCCUGCCAGGAGCCCAGCCCAAGUAAACAGCUUUCCCCGCUUCCCGCUCCCUCUCCUUGUUGCCCGGGGUCACUGCCCCUCUGUUCUAAACAGUCCCCCAGCUCAGAGCUGAGCAGAGCAGGGAGAAAGAAAGGCUGCCGGGGCCUUCUGUUCGAGCUGCCCGGAUGAGGACCACAGCUGUGCAACGGAGCUCACGUGUGUUUAUCACCACCAACUGUCACCACCACUAACACAACAACUAACUAACAACUAACAACAACACAGAUCCUGCAGCUCUGGCCCGGCUCCUUCAGCCCAAGCAAGCAAUGAGGACAAAGAAUAGGCCCGACUGAGGCCACCAUGGCCUCCUGAUUGCCAUCAGCAGGCAAGCAGCAAACAGCUGCAACUUGACCCAGACCGCCGUGCCAAGUGAAAUCCUGACCGGCUCUCCCAGUGACAAACUAUUUUCUUAAAAUUGUGUCCACGCCAUUUGGGAGACAGAAGAGGCCCUGGUCAUAAGCCACAGCACUUGGUGGCCAGCUGGAAUGCUGCGGGUGCGAAAAAUGGAAGGUGACUGUCCACUUCUAAGCCUGGAAGAUGGUCAGAAAGCUGCCCUCAUGGCCACUCACAGGGAACGAGAUGAGCAGGGGGUCAGGUGGACUGGGGGGGAUUUCCUGGGGCCCCAGCUGCUCUUCUGCAACCACACCACACUUCCCACCAAGUUCUCAACCUCCGCGCCCACUUCCUCAACAGCCAGAUGGGCAGUUUCCAUCUCCAUUUUUAUUGAAAUACAAAAUGUGCAAAGGUGAA
This is a long non-coding RNA of Equus caballus (horse), 1149 nucleotides long. RefSeq lists it as uncharacterized. The record is from RefSeq and is a predicted model, not a curated record. NCBI's taxonomy places the organism in Eukaryota, Metazoa, Chordata, Mammalia, Perissodactyla, Equidae.